UUUUUUUUUUUUUUUUUUGCUUUCAAAUUUAGAACGAAACAUUGCCUAGAUCAGUAGAAAAGCAAGGGGUGUGUCACCCCCUUUCCUUGGAGCCUUUUCUGCUCUCAUAGCCAGCUCUACUUCUCUUGACUGGGAUUCCUUUGUACAUUGUAAAGUUGAGCAUAUGUUCUCAGUGCUUUCUGAGGCAUUAUGUAAAGGGUUCAUACUAGAUGGUCAGUUAGAUACAUGUUAGCAUUAGCGUAGUUCAAAGCUGGAGCAGGCGUUGAGGGAAUGCUUGUGUCUUGUAGACUGGAGGCCUUUUCAGUAGCUUAGGCUGUUGUCCCAGAUGGACAGCAGCUUAAUGCCUUUUGAAAACUAUAUAAAGCGACUUUUGAGGCUUUCAGGUUUACAUGUAUGUCGUAGGUAUUUUUUUUUAAUUUUGAAAUGUUUAAGUUUUAAUUAAAGUUUACUCCAGUAUGUUAAUGAUGUAGUCAAAUAUUUAUUGAAAGGCAAAAUAGAAUAUUUUAAUGUUAUCCCUGCCAUUUUUCAAGAAUAUUCUUUGCAUCUAACUGCCAGUGCCAUUGUCAAACUUGUUUUCAAAAUUGUUGUACUUUUUUAUUAAACAGAGUGCUUAAUUUUAAAGUAUUAUGUUGCCAUCAUAUAGUGUAUAAAAUGUAAAAUUGCCAAUUCAUUGUACCUAUUAUUUAUUUUUAAACUAAAGUAUAAGAAUACCUUUUGAUUGAAGAAAUUUGUUAUUAAAUUGUUUUUUUUCUGAUGUAGCAUAAAAUCUUCUGAGUUUAACUGCCAAUAGAUGACCAGCCACAAGUGAACCACUUCUCAGUUGCCAGCCUUGCUUAUAGCAGAAGCAACUUACAAACAUUUAGUUUUUGUAUCUAAUCUCUGACUAUUAAAAUGUUUAUAAAGUUUAUUUUUACCAAAGAGAUGCAAUUCAUUAUGAUAAAGUUGCAGAAUAAAUGUCGUUUUAUAACAC
This 970-nucleotide long non-coding RNA is filed under the name Mus musculus (house mouse). RNAcentral's name for it is "long non-coding RNA chr17:88489561-88490531". The record is from RNAcentral. Lineage: Eukaryota; Metazoa; Chordata; Mammalia; Rodentia; Muridae.